This 582-nucleotide small RNA is filed under the name Pongo abelii (Sumatran orangutan). RNAcentral describes it as "retained intron". The record is from RNAcentral. Lineage: Eukaryota; Metazoa; Chordata; Mammalia; Primates; Hominidae.
AGAUGUGCCCUGCUUGUGGAUUUGUGUGAAUGUGCGUGUGCUGUCUGCAGAAUGCGGGGCACACCGUGCUCUGUUGACAUUAUCCAUUAUGCUCUGUUGCUCAGCUUCAGACAGCAAAGUCCUGACAUGUGCAGCCGUGUGGAGGAUGCCGAAGGAAUUGGAAUCAGGCAGCCACGAGUCCCCUGAUGAUUCAUCCAGCACUGCGCAGACCCUGGAGCUGCUCUGUCACCUUGACAACACAGCCCAUGGCAACAUGGCCUGUGUCGUGUGGGAACCAAUGGGAGAUGGGAAGAAAAUCAUUUCAUUGGCCGAUAACCAUAUCCUGCUGUGGGAUUUACAGGAAAGCUCAAGCCAGGCUGUGCUGGCCAGCUCAGCGUCCCUGGAAGGGAAGGGACAGCUGAAGUUCACCUCAGGACGGUGGAGCCCACAUCAUAACUGCACCCAGGUGGCCACAGCGAACGACACCACCCUCCGUGGCUGGGACACCCGGAGCAUGAGCCAGAUCUACUGCAUAGAGAAUGCCCACGGACAGCUGGUGCGGGACCUUGACUUUAAUCCCAAUAAGCAGUACUACUUGGCCAG